RNAcentral lists this non-coding RNA (31 nucleotides) under Homo sapiens (human). Lineage: Eukaryota; Metazoa; Chordata; Mammalia; Primates; Hominidae. The record is from RNAcentral.
UGACCUAGAGGACAUCAUGGUAAAUGACCUG